AUACUUACCUGGCAGGGAAGAUACCAUGAUCAUGAAGGUGGUUUUCUCAGAGAGAGGCUUAUCCAUUGCACUCCGGAUAUGCUGACCCCUGUGAUUUCCCCAAAUGUGGGAAACUCGACUGAUAAUUUGCAGUAGUGGGAGUCUGCAUUCUCACUCUCCCC
Molecule: small nuclear RNA, 161 nt
Gene: U1
Rfam family: U1 spliceosomal RNA
About the family: U1 is a small nuclear RNA (snRNA) component of the spliceosome (involved in pre-mRNA splicing).
Source: Ensembl